AGUGAACGCUGGCGGUAGGCCUAACACAUGCAAGUCGAACGGCAGCACAGUAAGAGCUUGCUCUUACGGGUGGCGAGUGGCGGACGGGUGAGGAAUACAUCGGAAUCUACUUUUUCGUGGGGGAUAACGUAGGGAAACUUACGCUAAUACCGCAUACGACCUACGGGUGAAAGCAGGGGAUCUUCGGACCUUGCGCGAUUGAAUGAGCCGAUGUCGGAUUAGCUAGUUGGCGGGGUAAAGGCCCACCAAGGCGACGAUCCGUAGCUGGUCUGAGAGGAUGAGGGGCCACCCUGGAACUUAGACACGGUCCAGAGUCCUACGGGAGGCAGCAGUGGGGAAUAGGGGACAAUGGGCGCAAGCCUGAUCCAGCCAGCCCGCGUGGGUGGAGAAGGCUUUCGGGUUGUAAAGCCCUUUUGUUGUGAAAGAAAAGCAGCAGGUUAAUACCCCGCUGUGCUGACGGUACCCAAAGAAUAAGCACCGGCUAACUUCGUG
Molecule: ribosomal RNA, 492 nt
Filed under: uncultured bacterium
Lineage: Bacteria
Description: partial 16S ribosomal RNA
Rfam family: Bacterial small subunit ribosomal RNA
Source: RNAcentral